RNAcentral lists this ribosomal RNA (460 nucleotides) under uncultured bacterium. RNAcentral describes it as "partial 16S ribosomal RNA". It matches the Rfam family "Bacterial small subunit ribosomal RNA", at positions 338 to 795 of the family's 1533-position model. The record is from RNAcentral.
CCUACGGGAGGCAGCAGUGAGGAAUAUUGGUCAAUGGGCGAGAGCCUGACCCAGCCAAGUCGCGUGAAGGAUGAAGGCUCUAUGGUUGGUAAACUUCUUUUAUAUGGGAGUGAAGUGAGGAACGUGUUCCUUUUUGUAUGUACCAUAUGAAUAAGCAUCGGCUAACUCCGUGCCAGCAGCCGCGGUAAUACGGAGGAUGCGAGCGUUAUCCGGAUUUAUUGGGUUUAAAGGGAGCGUAGGUGGGUAUUUAAGUCAGCGGUGAAAGGUUGUGGCUCAACCAUCAAAUUGCAGUUGAAACUGGUUGUCUUGAGUAUAUUUGAGGCAGGCGGAAUGCGUGGUGUAGCGGUGAAAUGCGUAGAUAUCACGCAGAACUCCGAUUGCGAAGGCAGCCUACUAAACUACAACUGACACUGAGGCGCGAAAGCGUGGGGAUCAAACAGGAUUAGAUACCCUGGUAGUC